GAUGAACGCUGGCGGCGUGCCUAAUACAUGCAAGUCGAGCGAACGGACGAGAAGCUUGCUUCUCUGAUGUUAGCGGUGGACGGGUGAGUAACACGUGGAUAACCUACCUAUAAGACUGGGAUAACUUCGGGAAACCGGAGCUAAUACCGGAUAAUAUUUUGAACCGCAUGGUUCAAAAGUAAAAGACGGUCUUGCUGUCACUUAUAGAUGGAUCCGCGCUGCAUUAGCUAGUUGGUAAGGUAACGGCUUACCAAGGCAACGAUGCAUAGCCGACCUGAGAGGGUGAUCGGCCACACUGGAACUGAGACACGGUCCAGACUCCUACGGGAGGCAGCAGUAGGGAAUCUUCCGCAAUGGGCGAAAGCCUGACGGAGCAACGCCGCGUGAGUGAUGAAGGUCUUCGGAUCGUAAAACUCUGUUAUUAGGGAAGAACAUAUGUGUAAGUAACUGUGCACAUCUUGACGGUACCUAAUCAGAAAGCCACGGCUAACUACGUG
This 497-nucleotide ribosomal RNA is filed under the name uncultured bacterium. RNAcentral describes it as "partial 16S ribosomal RNA". It matches the Rfam family "Bacterial small subunit ribosomal RNA", at positions 28 to 507 of the family's 1533-position model. The record is from RNAcentral.